RNAcentral lists this ribosomal RNA (348 nucleotides) under uncultured Bacteroidota bacterium. RNAcentral's name for it is "bacterial SSU rRNA". It matches the Rfam family "Bacterial small subunit ribosomal RNA", at positions 527 to 871 of the family's 1533-position model. Lineage: Bacteria; Pseudomonadati; Bacteroidota. The record is from RNAcentral.
GGAGGAUCCAAGCGUUAUCCGGAAUUAUUGGGUUUAAAGGGUCCGCAGGCGGUUUGUUAAGUCAGAGGUGAAAUCCCCUAGCUCAACGGUAGAACUGCCUUUGAUACUGGCAAACUUGAGUUAUUGUGAAGUAGUUAGAAUGUGUAGUGUAGCGGUGAAAUGCAUAGAUAUUACACAGAAUACCGAUUGCGAAAGCAGAUUACUAACAAUAUACUGACGCUGAGGGACGAAAGCGUGGGUAGCGAACAGGAUUAGAUACCCUGGUAGUCCACGCCGUAAACGAUGGUCACUAGCUGUUCGAUGUACAUUGGUACGUUGAGUGGCUAAGCGAAAGUGAUAAGUGACCCA